RNAcentral lists this ribosomal RNA (891 nucleotides) under uncultured bacterium. RNAcentral describes it as "bacterial SSU rRNA". It matches the Rfam family "Bacterial small subunit ribosomal RNA", at positions 505 to 1397 of the family's 1533-position model. The record is from RNAcentral.
GUGCCAGCAGCNGCGGUAAUACGUAGGUGGCAAGCGUUGUCCGGAUUUAUUGGGCGUAAAGCGAGCGCAGGCGGUUUCUUAAGUCUGAUGUGAAAGCCCCCGGCUUAACCGGGGAGGGUCAUUGGAAACUGGGAGACUUGAGUGCAGAAGAGGAGAGUGAAUUCCAUGUGUAGCGGUGAAAUGCGUAGAUAUAUGGAGGAACACCAGUGGCGAAGGCGGCUCUCUGGUCUGUAACUGACGCUGAGGCUCGAAAGCGUGGGGAGCGAACAGGAUUAGAUACCCUGGUAGUCCACGCCGUAAACGAUGAGUGCUAAGUGUUGGAGGGUUUCCGCCCUUCAGUGCUGCAGCAAACGCAUUAAGCACUCCGCCUGGGGAGUACGACCGCAAGGUUGAAACUCAAAGGAAUUGACGGGGGCCCGCACAAGCGGUGGAGCAUGUGGUUUAAUUCGAAGCAACGCGAAGAACCUUACCAGGUCUUGACAUCCUUUGACCACUCUAGAGAUAGAGCUUUCCCUUUGGGGACAAAGUGACAGGUGGUGCAUGGUUGUCGUCAGCUCGUGUCGUGAGAUGUUGGGUUAAGUCCCGCAACGAGCGCAACCCUUAUUGUUAGUUGCCAUCAUUUAGUUGGGCACUCUAGCGAGACUGCCGGUGACAAACCGGAGGAAGGUGGGGAUGACGUCAAAUCAUCAUGCCCCUUAUGACCUGGGCUACACACGUGCUACAAUGGGAAGUACAACGAGUUGCGAAGUCGCGAGGCUAAGCUAAUCUCUUAAAACUUCUCUCAGUUCGGAUUGUAGGCUGCAACUCGCCUACAUGAAGCCGGAAUCGCUAGUAAUCGCGGAUCAGCACGCCGCGGUGAAUACGUUCCCGGGCCUUGUACACACCGCCCGU